RNAcentral lists this ribosomal RNA (514 nucleotides) under uncultured Kluyvera sp. Its description in RNAcentral is "bacterial SSU rRNA". It matches the Rfam family "Bacterial small subunit ribosomal RNA", at positions 1019 to 1533 of the family's 1533-position model. Lineage: Bacteria; Pseudomonadati; Pseudomonadota; Gammaproteobacteria; Enterobacterales; Enterobacteriaceae. The record is from RNAcentral.
UUCGGGGACUAGGACACAGGUGCUGCAUGGCUGUCGUCAGCUCGUGUUGUGAAAUGUUGGGUUAAGUCCCGCAACGAGCGCAACCCUUAUCCUUUGUUGCCAGCGGUUCGGCCGGGAACUCAAGGGAGACUGCCAGUGAUAAACUGGAGGAAGGUGGGGAUGACGUCAAGUCAUCAUGGCCCUUACGAGUAGGGCUACACACGUGCUACAAUGGCAUAUACAAAGAGAAGCGACCUCGCGAGAGCAAGCGGACCUCAUAAAGUAUGUCGUAGUCCGGAUUGGAGUCUGCAACUCGACUCCAUGAAGUCGGAAUCGCUAGUAAUCGUAGAUCAGAAUGCUACGGUGAAUACGUUCCCGGGCCUUGUACACACCGCCCGUCACACCAUGGGAGUGGGUUGCAAAAGAAGUAGGUAGCUUAACCUUCGGGAGGGCGCUUACCACUUUGUGAUUCAUGACUGGGGUGAAGUCGUAACAAGGUAACCGUAGGGGAACCUGCGGCUGGAUCACCUCCUUA